UCGAAUAUAUCUAUAGAACAUUAUUACGUGAAGUUAUUUCAAGUAUAACGUUAAAGUUGAAAGAACAAAAGAAGAGUCCUCUCUGUAUCUAUUACAAAGACACAAAGGAAGGUUGAUGAAAAAUAAAGCGAAGCUCGAGUCGUUAAUUCGUAAGAACAUUUCAAAGAAAAUUGGAAGCAAAAUCAGAAAGAGAAAAUGGAAGUAAUAAAAGAGAAAUAAAGAACGGUGGAUUCUGAAUGCGACUGAAACGAGUUGAUGAAGUUUCGCCCAAGUUGGACAGUGAAACUUUACGACAAAGGGGUGGAAAUUGCAGUGAGAAAGGAAUUUCGAAGAAAUCGAAACCAUUUACGGAAUAACAAGUGACAAUAAAGUUUCCACGAAAGAAAACAAACGCGCAUGUUAAGUUACGAAAAGCGAUGAAGUUAGAGACACAAACUUUUGUUGCCUAAAGGUUUCCUAAAUACGAAUUGGAGCUACGUGCUCUACAAUGCAACGUUCUAUACCACAGUUAUGUCACAAUGGCUGUUCAACAUCACACGUUCUGAGGACCUCACGAGUGGAAACUAAGAAACUUCAGAGACGGGUCGGUGAUUACAGAUACAAAAAGACUGGACAUGCCUUUAUUCUCGAGGGGUCAUAAUUUUGGGAGUUCCAGACACCCCGAACCGGCGGUAUGACAGUCAUUCCUGGUUUACCAGUCCACCUUUUAUCACACCUUUUAUCAUUUACAACUAAAAAGACAAU
Osmia lignaria (orchard mason bee) is the source of this 744-nucleotide non-coding RNA. Lineage: Eukaryota; Metazoa; Arthropoda; Insecta; Hymenoptera; Megachilidae. The record is from RefSeq and is a predicted model, not a curated record.